UACGUAGGGUCCGAGCGUUGUCCGGAGUUACUGGGCGUAAGGCGCGCGCAGGCGGCGGUGCUGGCCCGGCGUGAAAGCCCCCGGCUCAACCGGGGAGGGUCGUCGGGGACCGCACCGCUUGAGGGCGGUAGGGGCUGGUGGAAUGCCUGGUGUAGUGGUGAAAUGCGUAGAGAUCAGGCGGAACACCCGUGGCGAAGGCGGCCAGCUGGGCCGUCCCUGACGCUGAGGCGCGAAGGCGUGGGGAGCGAACGGG
RNAcentral lists this ribosomal RNA (253 nucleotides) under uncultured bacterium. Its description in RNAcentral is "partial 16S ribosomal RNA". It matches the Rfam family "Bacterial small subunit ribosomal RNA", at positions 524 to 776 of the family's 1533-position model. The record is from RNAcentral.